CCCGAAUCCUGACACAGGGAGGUAGUGACAAGAAAUAACAAUACAGGGCUACUUCUAGUCUUGUAAUUGGAAUGAGUACAACUUACAUCUCUUCACGAGGAUCAAUUGGAGGGCAAGUCUGGUGCCAGCAGCCGCGGUAAUUCCAGCUCCAAUAGCGUAUAUUAAAGUUGUUGCAGUUAAAAAGCUCGUAGUCGGAUUUCGGGGCGGGCCGAGCGGUCUGCCGAUGGGUAUGCACUGUUCGGCGCGUCCUUCUUUGCGGAGACUAGUUCUACUCUUAACUGAGCGGGACUGGGAGACGGAUCGUUUACUUUGAAAAAAUCAGAGUGUUUCAAGCAGGCAGCUCGCUCUUGCAUGGAUUAGCAUGGGAUAAUGAAAUAGGACUCUGGUGCUAUUUUGUUGGUUUCGAACACCGGAGUAAUGAUUAACAGGGACAGUCAGGG
RNAcentral lists this ribosomal RNA (440 nucleotides) under Phaeocystis sp. JD-2012. RNAcentral describes it as "SSU rRNA". It matches the Rfam family "Eukaryotic small subunit ribosomal RNA", at positions 444 to 887 of the family's 1831-position model. Lineage: Eukaryota; Haptophyta; Phaeocystales; Phaeocystaceae. The record is from RNAcentral.